The sequence is a transfer RNA, 88 nucleotides long. It matches the Rfam family "tRNA". From Rfam's summary of the family: Transfer RNA (tRNA) molecules are approximately 80 nucleotides in length. Their secondary structure includes four short double-helical elements and three loops (D, anti-codon, and T loops). Further hydrogen bonds mediate the characteristic L-shaped molecular structure. tRNAs have two regions of fundamental functional importance: the anti-codon, which is responsible for specific mRNA codon recognition, and the 3' end, to which the tRNAs corresponding amino acid is attached (by aminoacyl-tRNA synthetases). tRNAs cope with the degeneracy of the genetic code in two manners: having more than one tRNA (with a specific anti-codon) for a particular amino acid; and 'wobble' base-pairing, i.e. permitting non-standard base-pairing at the 3rd anti-codon position. The record is from Rfam.
GCAUUAAUGGGGUAGUGGUAACCUUGGUCGUUGCCAUUCGGGUUCUCACAAACUCGACCAGCCGGGGGUUCGAUUCCCUCUUAAUGCA